Pleuronectes platessa (European plaice) is the source of this 1992-nucleotide long non-coding RNA. RefSeq lists it as uncharacterized. NCBI's taxonomy places the organism in Eukaryota, Metazoa, Chordata, Actinopteri, Pleuronectiformes, Pleuronectidae. The transcript is spliced from 2 exons. The record is from RefSeq and is a predicted model, not a curated record.
CUGGAGGAGGGGGGGCAGGUCCCCGGGGUGAGGCUGCUGCUGAGUCGGCUCUUCUCACGUUUCAUCAGCCGGAACACGGAGCCGCUGCCGUGAUGCUGCUGAGCAAAGCAGGGUCAGAGAAUCUGGUGAAAUUCCAACUGGAGGCGAACGGGGCAGGAGAAGGACGGAGGAAAAACAUGUUGGAAUUUUCUUCUCCUCUCAGAUCUUCAGGGUUUCACAGCAGCAAUUACACAGAAGUGUUACCAGAUGCUCCUCAGCACCGUCCGACCCAGAGAAACCACGUAUCUGCACAAAUCCACUCUGUGCUCCACGGCCUGACCGAACUAACCUUCUCUUUCCCCUGAAUUUCAAAUUUACGCCAAAGCAGAUUUUAAAUUUUUGAAUUGGUUUGUUUAGAAACGUCCUCGAGGUCGAGGAGAGUGAAAAGUGAAACAUCCGCUCGGAGGAAGAAAAACAACGCGACCGUAGUUAUGUGGUUAUUUUCUGCAAUCUUAUCUUAUCCUUGAGCCUUGACUCUGUCCAAUUAAACACACACAUGUCACACACACACACAUAUAUGUCACACACAUCCAUACACAUGUAUUAACACAUUCAUGCACCUACAUAUUCAUGGGUGUGUUACACGUUAAUGUAGAAUCAUUUUGCAGACGUACCCGCUCUCCUGCAAACAAACACUUAAUAUAUAAAUAAUAAAUUAAACCAGCCAAACAUGGGGUAGAGGAGAUUUAACAAACCUAAUCACCAACACAACAAUUUGAAUGAACUCUUCACACGUUUGACUCUAAAGUCUUUUAAAUAAAGUGAGUCCUUGACCUUCUAAAGCUCCUUUUCAACACAACACCAGAAACCUGUGUGUGUCUGUGUGUGUGGAACCAUUUUGUUCACACGUUUAAUAAAGAUCAACUUUUAAUAAACAGGCCAACAGCACCUGGCAGUCAGUGGGGGGGGGGGCUCUACAGUGAAGGAGUUGAAAUGUAAUGCAUGAAAAAAUAACAGCAGCUCAGUGAAUCAUUCAAACCACAUGUGGACAGAUAUGUAAAGAAUAUAUAUAUAAACAUAUAUCUAUAUUACUGUGGUCCCCACCCACUGGACGAGGCCAAUCAAAGAAAUAAGACAGAUCCAUUAUGACAAAUCAAAGUGUUCUGACAUCGGCCUCCGUCUCACUGGCUUAACCUCCGAGUGGAUCAGCUUCCAAAUGGGAGCUGGAGCUGGAGGCCGUUUGGAACUGGGAAACCAAACACCUGAUGUGGGCACACUGAGGGAUUAUGGGUAUUUUAAGUUACGUGGGUGAGCUGUUUUCUGACAGAGUCGCACUGGGGAUUGGAUUCAGAGCAGAGACACAUUCGAUAUGUGCACACAAACACACACACACACACACACACACACACACAGAGAAGCUGCCCCUCGUUCUCAGUUCUCCUGGUGUCUCGAGGGAGACGGUAAUUGCUCCGGAAGCCGAGCUCCAGUUGAGCUCCAGUCGUCUUCUGGCUGAUCCGGGAUCAGAGACGUGUGGAGUCUCUUCACUAACCAGCAGCUCCACACACACUCUCCUGUUUGCCUCCUUCCUCCUGAACCUUAUUACCAGUUAGUAACUUCUCAUCACACCGACUGCGUUUAGUUUCAGGACAGGAACAGAACCAAGAGAAGUUUUGUAUCGUGUCAUCUGCACAAAUCAGAUUGGACCUUGUUUAUUCCACUCAGACAUAUUUGUAGUAACUGUACAGAACCUUCUCCUCUUCAUCUCUCUGCACUCGGAGCUUCAUGAAGCCACAGGACCCAUCACUGAGUUCUCGGCCCAGUCAUUUUGCCGUUGAACUCAAAUUUGUAAUAAAAUUUGUAUGAGGAAUAAAAUCAGUGCAGGGACAUCUUCAUCAUCUUAUAGAACCAGUCAGAGACUGUUUACACCAAUAAUCCACUUAUUGAUUCAAGAAUAAAUCAUUGUGUCAGUUCUGGUGUUUACUUGAGCUGCUGAUCAAUAAACAGAUCCUCACA